This 279-nucleotide long non-coding RNA is filed under the name Prunus persica (peach). Its description in RNAcentral is "long non-coding RNA (PPER_LNC003438)". Lineage: Eukaryota; Viridiplantae; Streptophyta; Magnoliopsida; Rosales; Rosaceae. The record is from RNAcentral.
CAUCCGAUACCUUAAUACUAAUCCCGAUAAUAAUAAUAAAUAUAUAUAUUAAAUAAUAAUAAUUUCAAGAGAUUUCAUCAGUUCCAAUAAUGCAUAAUCUCCAAAUAUCAAAAAUAACAUUUAGGUAUACCAUCACAUACUUUAACACACUUUCAACUAAUAAAAUACUAGAAAUAUGCACAAUUUAGCUAUAUAUAUAUAUAUAUACUAAUUCCAUAAUUAUAUAAAUCCAUAAAAUACUAUAUCCCACAAUUAAAACAUUAUACUUCCAUACAUAAC